RNAcentral lists this ribosomal RNA (301 nucleotides) under uncultured bacterium. RNAcentral's name for it is "partial 16S ribosomal RNA". It matches the Rfam family "Bacterial small subunit ribosomal RNA", at positions 509 to 808 of the family's 1533-position model. The record is from RNAcentral.
CAGUAGCGCGGGAAUACAGAGGGUGCAAGCGUUAAUCGGAAUUACUGGGCGUAAAGCGUGCGCAGACGGUUGCGUAAGUCAGAUGUGAAAGCCCCGGGCUCAACCUGGGAAUUGCAUUUGAGACUGCGUAGCUAGGGUGCGGAAGAGGGAAGCGGAAUUUCCGGUGUAGCGGUGAAAUGCGUAGAUAUCGGAAGGAACACCAGUGGCGAAAGCGGCUUCCUGGUCCAGCACCGACGUUCAGGCACGAAAGCGUGGGGAGCGGACAGGAUUAGAUACCCGCGUAGUCCCUGUCUCUUAUACC